RNAcentral lists this ribosomal RNA (497 nucleotides) under uncultured bacterium. RNAcentral describes it as "partial 16S ribosomal RNA". It matches the Rfam family "Bacterial small subunit ribosomal RNA", at positions 28 to 507 of the family's 1533-position model. The record is from RNAcentral.
GAUGAACGCUGGCGGCGUGCCUAAUACAUGCAAGUCGAGCGAACAGACGAGGAGCUUGCUCCUCUGACGUUAGCGGCGGACGGGUGAGUAACACGUGGAUAACCUACCUAUAAGACUGGGAUAACUUCGGGAAACCGGAGCUAAUACCGGAUAACAUGUUGAACCGCAUGGUUCAACAGUGAAAGACGGUCUUGCUGUCACUUAUAGAUGGAUCCGCGCCGCAUUAGCUAGUUGGUAAGGUAACGGCUUACCAAGGCAACGAUGCGUAGCCGACCUGAGAGGGGGGGGGGCCACACUGGAACUGACACCCGAUCCAGACCCAAGCGGGAGGGAGCAGGAGGGAAUUUUCCGAAAUGGGCGAAGGCCUGACGGACCAACGCCGGGGGAGUGAAAAAGUGUUUGGGAACGUAAAACCGUGUUAUUGGGAAAAAAAAAAUGUGUAAGUAACUACGCACGGCUAGCCGGUACCUAACCAGAAGGCCACGGCAACCUAGGUC